Austrofundulus limnaeus is the source of this 1366-nucleotide long non-coding RNA. RefSeq lists it as uncharacterized. NCBI's taxonomy places the organism in Eukaryota, Metazoa, Chordata, Actinopteri, Cyprinodontiformes, Rivulidae. The record is from RefSeq and is a predicted model, not a curated record. The transcript is spliced from 3 exons.
ACAGACACUUUUUCAGCACGUCAAAGUUUUGAAAUCAUUUCUUAAAAAAGAUACAGAAAGUGUUGGGAUCAGGUCUAUGCAAACAAGCUAUAAAUUAUUGUAAUAACAAAUUUGUUUUAUGGUCUAGCUCUGUUUAGGAUGAACUCAUUGGUUUUGACAGAAAGCUUUGUCAUUUAACAUUUUUCGAAAGUUCCUCUCGGUGGUGAUGUCUUGAUUUAAAAUCUAUUUUAAAUGAACUCAACAGCGGCCGGACUCAGGUCACCCACGGACCAGAUGUGGCCCCCGAGCCGCUAUUUGAAUAGCUCUGGUUUAGAUGAGUUGAAAAAAAUAAUAGAACCAUCAUUCAUUACACUAAUGACAUUUGUUUUCCACAGACGCUCUUGGUGUGAAAAUGCACCAACCUGACAGUGUGUGGGCGUGGCUCGAUCACGUGACGGGAUCGCUCAGAGCCAAAAGCAGGAUGGAUAAACUUUACUGAUCAAGCGAAGAUGCCUCGCAAAGGGAACGAAGCAUGAGUAGGAACUAAAGAUGCUCACCAUGUCUGGCAGCAAAUCUCCAGGCAGAGAGGGAAAAAUAAAACAAGUGGAGAAGUAGGUCAGACAUGGAGAGGACACUGAGCCAGAAGCAUCUGAAGGAGCACAGAGAAAAGCCAGACGAGGAACAGAAACUGAAACUGCAGUGAAAAAAGUGAAAACACAAGAAUAUAAUUGAGGUAGAGAAUAUCAGGAUGAGGAAGCUGAGGCUGCAGAUGAACUGCUCUCAUAUCUUCUCAGGAUGAUUUUAUCAAGCUGUGUGAUGAUACCUCUACGUUCUUCCAAAAAAGGUAGAGGAAAAUGUGAAAAAAAAAAAACAUCGACUUCAGUAUUCUUCCUGCACUGCUGACUUGAUUUAAAUUAGGAAAAACACAUAAGCCGAACCUCCUGGAUAUCCGUAGGAAUUAAAUGGAGAAGCACUUUUCAAAACAUCAAGAGAACACAGUGACUCAUACAUGUGUAACACAUUUAGAAACCCUACCCUCCACGUUUUAGCUGUUUCUCUGCACCCACACGCCUGAUUCAGUAGUUGAAUUAACUCCUUGGUGUGUCAUCAAGUUCUGAAAAAGCUUGUUAAUCACAAUGCAUUUAAAUCAGGUGUGCUGGAGGAGAGAAACAUCGAAAACAGGCUGGACCUCGAGUAUCAGAAUUGGACAGCACUGGUCUACACCAAUCGUAGAUCGUUCACUUUUAAAAUUUGAAGAUGGUGAAACCGAAGAAUCAAAAUGAUCUGAUCUUCUAUUAUUUGUGAAUGAAAAGGAACAGUGAAGUCGUACACUUCAUUUGGGACGUGUACAUUGCUGGCCUGCAUUACCAUCCACCUUUUUAUUUAA